RNAcentral lists this small RNA (591 nucleotides) under Pongo abelii (Sumatran orangutan). Its description in RNAcentral is "retained intron". Lineage: Eukaryota; Metazoa; Chordata; Mammalia; Primates; Hominidae. The record is from RNAcentral.
AUUGUUGAAUGGUUCAUAUGAGAAGAUGCAGUAGCACUGUGUCCCAACAUCUUGGUUCACCUCCAGUUGUGAUUGCCUUUCUUUAGCAAAAGCGAAAGCUUCGGAUCUACAUUUCCAAUACGUUCAGUCCCAGCAAGGCGGAAGGCGAUAGUGCAGGAACUGCAGGGACCCCUGGGGGAACCCCAGCAGGGGACAAGGUGGCUUCCUGGGAACUCCGAGUGGAAGGAAAACUGCUGGAUGAUCCUAGCAAACAGAAGAGGAAGUUUUCUUCAUUCUUUAAGAGCCUCGUCAUUGAGCUGGACAAGGAGCUGUACGGGCCUGACAAUCACCUGGUGGAGUGGCACCGGAUGCCCACCACCCAGGAGACAGAUGGCUUCCAGGUAAAACGGCCUGGAGACCUCAAUGUCAAGUGCACCCUCCUGCUCAUGCUGGAUCAUCAGCCUCCCCAGUAUAAAUUGGACCCCCGAUUGGCAAGGCUGCUGGGAGUGCACACGCAGACGAGGGCCGCCAUCAUGCAGGCCCUGUGGCUUUACAUCAAGCACAACCAGCUGCAGGAUGGGCACGAGCGGGAGUACAUCAACUGCAACCGUU